RNAcentral lists this long non-coding RNA (215 nucleotides) under Elaeis guineensis (African oil palm). RNAcentral's name for it is "long non-coding RNA (EGUI_LNC045797)". The record is from RNAcentral. Lineage: Eukaryota; Viridiplantae; Streptophyta; Magnoliopsida; Arecales; Arecaceae.
UGGGGAAUUGGCAUUAAACCAAGAAAUGAUUUAUGGUUGCAGCAUUUCGAAGACAGGACAUACCCAAGGGCCAGUCUGACCGCUUCUUCUCAGGUUCUCUCCAGCUAGAAUUCUGUCAUCAGUCAUCAAUCGUGAGAAAAUGAGACUUCAAUUGGAAGUGGGCAUUUCCAUAGUGAACUGUUCAAUGUCGAAACCAAAACCCCACAACUUUAGAU